GCUAAGAAUAUUCCGCAAUGGGCGAAAGCCUGACGGAGCGACGCCGCGUGGAGGAUGAAGGCCUUCGGGUUGUAAACUCCUUUUCCUGGGGAAGAAUAAAAUCGGUAGUAACUGACCGGUUGAUGACGGUACCCAGGGAAUAAGCCCCGGCUAAUUACGUGCCAGCAGCCGCGGUAAUACGUAUGGGGCGAGCGUUGUUCGAAUUUACUGGGCGUAAAGGGCUUGUAGGUGGUGGGAUAAGUCGGACGUGAAAUCCCCGGGCUUAACCCGGGAACUGCAUUCGAAACUAUCUCGCUAGAGUACCGGAGAGGGAAACGGAAUUCCUGGUGUAGGGGUGAAAUCUGUAGAUAUCAGGAAGAACACCGGUGGCGAAGGCGGUUUCCUGGCCGGAUACUGACACUGAGGAGCGAAAGCUAGGGGAGCAAACAGGAUUAGAUACCCGAGUAGUCC
Molecule: ribosomal RNA, 450 nt
Filed under: uncultured bacterium
Lineage: Bacteria
Description: bacterial SSU rRNA
Rfam family: Bacterial small subunit ribosomal RNA
Source: RNAcentral